UACGUAGGGGGCAAGCGUUGUCCGGAAUUAUUGGGCGUAAAGCGCGCGCAGGCGGUUCUUUAAGUCUCGUGUUUAAACCCGAAGCUCAACUUUGGGACGCACGGGAAACUGGGGGACUUGAGUGCAGGAGAGGAAAGCGGAAUUCCACGUGUAGCGGUGAAAUGCGUAGAGAUGUGGAGGAACACCGGUGGCGAAGGCGGCUUUCUGGUCUGUAACUGACGCUGAGGCGCGAAAGCGUGGGGAGCAAACAGG
RNAcentral lists this ribosomal RNA (252 nucleotides) under uncultured bacterium. Its description in RNAcentral is "partial 16S ribosomal RNA". It matches the Rfam family "Bacterial small subunit ribosomal RNA", at positions 524 to 776 of the family's 1533-position model. The record is from RNAcentral.